AAAGCUGAAACCCGCUGGGGCCUGGCAGAGGGGAAGUUUGCAGUUAACUCUGUUCUUGGAAGAGUUUUAACGCUGUUCUAUUCUUUGUAGAAGGCCCUUCCCGAAGGAAGUCUGAGGCUUUUGAGGACGAUUUGCCAGGGCAGGCCCUUUAAUGGAGCGAGAUGUGUGGCCCCAGCCUCAGCUCCUCAUGCUUCCAAGAGCAACACUGAGAGGUGUGGACCAGUGGGAGUGAGUGGCAGGCCCUCCCGCAGCUGUUGGGCACCUGAGCCCCCCACAAGCCCAUUCCUGAUCCUUCUCUCAUCUCAAAAUCGGGCCUGAUGGCACCUGUAUCACAUCUUGGAAGCACCAGAGACAAGAAUCACAGAGAAAGCUUAUGGCUGCACCCUGCUGCUCUGCCAAGCACCGGGCCCGAGCCAUGGCCGCAUGAAUACGCUCAUUUGAGAGGAAGAAGAGAUUAUUCAGGCUGCCUGGAGAAGGGCCCUCAGCUUGACUUUGAAGGCUAAAGUGGUAACUGGAGUUCAGAAUGACCGGUGGACCAGGAGGCACUCUUUGGGUGUAUGAAAAACCAUCUGUGUGUUUUUUGGUUUUGUGCCCACCCGCCUGUACAUAGCAAAGCCUUCAAAACAUAAAUUGGAAAUGAUUGUCGUUCACGAGCAAGAGCCGAGUGUUUACUUUUCGAGCAACUGCUUGGAGAAACAAUGGCUUUUUGUUUCCAAAAAUCAUAUAUUGCUAAUAUCAAAGAGCCUUGUGAAAGGCGUCUUCAAUAGCACGUGAAAAAUGAAAGUAUCGCUCUAGAUCGGAACCUGGAAAAGAGGUCUUUUCUGUUCUCUAAGCGUCACACUGUGCGGUAGCAUUUGUGAAGAUGGCCUCGAAGUUAAAUGUUCUUGGAUACUGGCAGGUGACACGGCAAAAAUCAAACGCAUUGUUUUGUGACAAGGUUUGAGGACCGGAAUUUAGCAAAGCACCGGGUAUGGGAGACGGCUGAAUUAAUACUGUUGACAUCGUGGUUCUAAAGAUGGAUAAGGAAGG
This 1029-nucleotide long non-coding RNA is filed under the name Sus scrofa (pig). RNAcentral's name for it is "lncRNA (ENSSSCG00015041316.1)". Lineage: Eukaryota; Metazoa; Chordata; Mammalia; Artiodactyla; Suidae. The record is from RNAcentral.